Molecule: ribosomal RNA, 500 nt
Filed under: uncultured bacterium
Lineage: Bacteria
Description: partial 16S ribosomal RNA
Rfam family: Bacterial small subunit ribosomal RNA
Source: RNAcentral
AUUGAACGCUGGCGGCAUGCCUUACACAUGCAAGUCGAACGGCAGCACGGGAGCAAUCCUGGUGGCGAGUGGCGAACGGGUGAGUAAAGUAUCGGAACGUGCCCAGUCGUGGGGGAUAACGUAGCGAAAGUUACGCUAAUACCGCAUACGAUCUAUGGAUGAAAGCGGGGGAUCGCAAGACCUCGCGCGAUUGGAGCGGCCGAGAUCAGAUUAGGGAGGUGGGGGGGUAAAGGCUCACCAAGCCGACGAUCUGUAGCUGGUCUGAGAGGACGAGCAGCCACACUGGGUCUGAGACACGGCACAGACUCCGACGUGAGGCAGCAGUGGGGAAUUUUGGACAAUGGGCGAAAGCCUGAUCCAGCCAUGCCGCGUGCAGGAUGAAGGCCUUCGGGUUGUAAACUGCUUUUGUACGGAACGAAAAGAUGUGGGCUAAUAAGCUGAGCUCAUGACGGUACCGUAAGAAUAAGCACCGGCUAACUACGUGCCAGCAGCCGCAGUAA